This 113-nucleotide ribosomal RNA is filed under the name Escherichia coli. Lineage: Bacteria; Pseudomonadati; Pseudomonadota; Gammaproteobacteria; Enterobacterales; Enterobacteriaceae. RNAcentral also lists the same sequence under 1 other name. The record is from RNAcentral.
GGCGGCCUUAGCGCGGUGGUCCCACCUGACCCCAUGCCGAACUCAGAAGUGAAACGCCGUAGCGCCGAUGGUAGUGUGGGGUCUCCCCAUGCGAGAGUAGGGAACUGCCAGGU